GUCUUCCUGAUAAAAUAGGAAGUCUGACCUGCCCAGUGAAAAUAUUUUAACGGCCGCGGUAUAUUGACCGUGCAAAGGUAGCAUAAUCAUUAGUCUUUUAAUAGAGGGCUGGAAUGAAGGGUUUAACGAAGUACUUACUGUCUCAUUUAAUUUGAUAUUAAAAUUUACUUUUUCAGUCAAAAAGCUGAAAUAUUAUUGGAAGACGAGAAGACCCUAUAGAGCUUUAUAUUUAAUUUUUUAAUAAAUUUUUGUUAUAAUUAUUAUUUAUUAUUUAAUAAAAUAUUUUGUUGGGGUGACAAAAAUAUAUAAUCAACUUUUUUAUUUAUAUAACAUUGAUAUAUGAAAAAUAGAUCCAGUUUUACUGAUUAUUAGAAUAAGUUACCUUAGGGAUAACAGCGUAAUCUUCCUUUAGAGUUCAUAUUCACAGGGAGGCUUGCGACCUCGAUGUUGGAUUAAGAUUAUAAUUAGGUGUAGCCGCUUAAAAAAUAGGUCUGUUCGACCUUUAAAUUCUU
RNAcentral lists this ribosomal RNA (512 nucleotides) under Anotogaster sp. RF1904. RNAcentral's name for it is "partial 16S rRNA". It matches the Rfam family "Bacterial large subunit ribosomal RNA", at positions 1819 to 2597 of the family's 2925-position model. RNAcentral also lists the same sequence under 2 other names. Lineage: Eukaryota; Metazoa; Arthropoda; Insecta; Odonata; Cordulegastridae. The record is from RNAcentral.